Molecule: transfer RNA, 74 nt
Filed under: Salmonella enterica subsp. enterica
Lineage: Bacteria; Pseudomonadati; Pseudomonadota; Gammaproteobacteria; Enterobacterales; Enterobacteriaceae
Description: tRNA-OTHER
Rfam family: tRNA
About the family: Transfer RNA (tRNA) molecules are approximately 80 nucleotides in length. Their secondary structure includes four short double-helical elements and three loops (D, anti-codon, and T loops). Further hydrogen bonds mediate the characteristic L-shaped molecular structure. tRNAs have two regions of fundamental functional importance: the anti-codon, which is responsible for specific mRNA codon recognition, and the 3' end, to which the tRNAs corresponding amino acid is attached (by aminoacyl-tRNA synthetases). tRNAs cope with the degeneracy of the genetic code in two manners: having more than one tRNA (with a specific anti-codon) for a particular amino acid; and 'wobble' base-pairing, i.e. permitting non-standard base-pairing at the 3rd anti-codon position.
Source: RNAcentral
CCGCCAUUAGCUCAACUGGAUAGAGCAUAGAGCUUCUACCCUAAGCGUUCAGUUCAAUUCCUGAUGGCGGACCA